Molecule: ribosomal RNA, 245 nt
Filed under: uncultured Porphyromonadaceae bacterium
Lineage: Bacteria; Pseudomonadati; Bacteroidota; Bacteroidia; Bacteroidales; Porphyromonadaceae
Description: partial 16S ribosomal RNA
Rfam family: Bacterial small subunit ribosomal RNA
Source: RNAcentral
UACGGAGGAUGCGAGCGUUAUCCGGAUUUAUUGGGUUUAAAGGGUGCGCAGGCGGCGAUUCAAGUCAGCGGUCAAAAUGCGGUGCUCAACGCCGUACCGCCGUUGAAACUGUGUUGCUCGAGUUUGUGCGAGGAUGGCGGAAUGCGCGGUGUAGCGGUGAAAUGCAUAGAUAUCGCGCAGAACCCCGAUUGCGAAGGCAGCUGUCCAGCACACUACUGACGCUCAUGCACGAAAGCGUGGGUAUC